This is a long non-coding RNA of Solenopsis invicta (red fire ant), 2200 nucleotides long. RefSeq lists it as uncharacterized. NCBI's taxonomy places the organism in Eukaryota, Metazoa, Arthropoda, Insecta, Hymenoptera, Formicidae. The transcript has 2 exons. The record is from RefSeq and is a predicted model, not a curated record.
AGAGAGUGAACGGUUGCCGCGAGGGAAUGGAAGGCUGGACAGAGAAUGGCGAGCGAGCGAGCGAGCGAGGAGAUGAUGAAAAGACUCGUCGGGGAGAAUCGUCGGUCGCGUCGCUAAUUACGUCGCGAUCGUCAAUGGUAUGUGGAAGAUCGUUCCGUACGGCUUUAUCGUGCGCAUUUAUCCCGGAUUUUGUCGAACGGUUUAUAACCGUAAAUUGAUUUUCCCAAGCAUUUUCCGCCAAUUGUUCCGGAUUAUAGCGAACGGAAUUUUCAAGGGAUUUCCGCAGUGGGGCGAGUACCGGCUAUGUUGUCCGUGGAUUAUCGAUUUCCGGGCCGUGUUAUUUGCCGCUCGAUACACACAGUGUCCCAGGGAUAUCUUUGUAUCUUUUAUUCUCUCGUGUUUUCUUUUCUAGAAAAUUAUCGUUUCGUUGUGCCGGUAUAAAGACGCGAGCGCGGCGCGUAAAACCAAGGUUUUAUCCCGUGGACGUGCAUAAAUCUGCUGGACGAUCGUGGAACCCGGGUAAAAGCGUUCUCGAUAGUCGUUCAAUACCUAAAUAUUCGUAUACGACGGGGCGGCGAUCGAUCGUUUUUCCCUUAGAAUGAAGUACCGCCAGCCAACAUUUAUCUUCGGUGCCGAGCGGUUAGUACAAAAAUUAGCUUCUCGUCGCGUUGGUGCAAGAAAAUAGUGGCAAGGAUGUCGGAUCUGCAUAAUCUUGAAGGAGUUCCGUGCUGGUAAGAAGAAGACGAGGAAGAACAGGGGAGGGGGAGGAAGACGCAGACGGAGAAGCCGAAGAGCGAGAGAAGAGGCGAAGACGAUGAUAAAGAAGAAAACCAGACGUGCAGGGACAAAACGAGCGGCGCUGAAGAGGAUGGGAACGCCCGAGAAGUCUAAUCCACAUUCAUCAGGCUUAUAAAACACCGGGAGACGCUCCAGGAAGGAGAUACCUACACCUACCUUACCUCCGUCGACUGCCACGUACUCCUCCGACAGCGGCGGUGGCGGCGGCGACGGUGACGGCGGCGCGGCGAGAAUAAACUCUGUCUCUGAACUCCGGUAACAUCAUUACAGUCGGAGACGAGUUGCAAGAAGAAGGGCGCGCAAGGUACGCUCUUUCUCUUUCUCUUUCUCUCUCUACGUUUUCAUCGACAUUCAUAUUAAAGAACCGGCACGAUAACGAACUUUAUUUAGGGCAAGUGCAAGCGUCUGGCAGUCUAAUCAGCAUUCAUUCAACCGAUGGCAAAACCGCGGCGAGGAAUCCCCCGGUCCCGAGGACCUGCUCGUGGUCCUGAUGCCACGGACCGACGAGCAUAACGAGCAAAUGUGGACGAGACGAAAAGAAGCGACGACGAGAAGAGGGAAGGCGGAAGAGGGAAAGAGGACGCACCGUCAUUUUUCUUUACUGGCGUUUAAGCACGUAGAGCCAUUAAUUUGAAGCUUUUUUUUUAAGCGCCACCACGAUCGACCGAGAGAAUCGUUAACCAUCACCGACGCUCUCCGAGCGUAGGGUCCGCGCGAUUUUUAAAACAAAGUUAAUAAUGGGCCAAGACACGGAUGGCAUAAAUUUGAUGAACCAAUCGCAUUUGGGAUGCAGUCGAUCUCUCCGGGCGAGGAUCGACCGCGAAUGAGAGAAACGAGAUCAUCCCGCGAGCUCAAUGAAUUUCGAAGGCGUACGGGUUAUCACUAAUAGCGGAUACCAGCGGCGAACAGCGGCGAACAGCGGCGAACAGCGGGUCCAUACGUUUUCUCGCGAGCACGCGAGACAGUGCAUUUCGCAUGCGUCGUAUUCAUGCAUAUGUAUUUGCAUAAUAGACGCCUGCAAAGUCAUACGUACGCGUUGUACGUGCGUGUACAUAUUUACAUAUGUAUGUAAAUGCACGCGGUAUAAUAUGCAUUACCGAUCACGAGCCAUGCCGCGGCAGUUUUCAACGAGCUUACGGUUCGGAGUUCCGAACCAAAACUGCCGCGCCGGUGUAUCGCCGUUGUAAUUGUUAUUGCACGCCCAGCGGCUUUAUACCGUUUAUUAUGUUAAAUUACUAUCUAUUGCUAAAUCACGUUAUCAGUAGAAUGAUCGGGCAGCAUAAAUUUUUUGCUCACAGACCGAUUAUGGUGCAUGAUAUUAACAAUAAUUGUUAAUAAAUUUGUGAAACAUUUCUAAGUAAAAUCUAAGACACGUUAAAAUAACGAAUAUGGAAAAACUGUA